ACCGUUACUGCCUGGUUCAUAGGUUGACGCUCAACCACUGAGCCACCCCAGCUGGGCUGCAACAUCUUAAUUUGAUGUUUAAUCAUGGGAAAUCCUUCCAACUGGCUGUGGCCUUUAGUCCUUUCAAGUGGUCUUCAUAUGAUGCCGAAAGACUUGAUUUAAGUUAACUGCUUAUUCUUUGCAAGGCUAACCCAUUUGGGAGAUGAUGUGUGGUCACUGAGUAAAAUACUCUGACCAGGCACAUUGGAGUUUGAAUUGCAGGUUAACUUCUAAUUAGCUGUGGAACCUUGCACAAAUUACUUAAUCUCAGUAAGCCUUAGUUUCCUCAUAUAACAUGGAGAUAGUAAUAGCACUUACUAAAGUGGAGAUUGUUAGUAUUAAGGGAUGUGGUGCUUGUAAAAUGCUUAGCACAGUGUGUGCCAAAUGUUGGUUCUUGUCACUGGUUGCUGUGCUUUUCCUGGGCUCCCUGCCUGCCCUAGUCAGAGCACGGCCCUCUGUCAGUGUUGGGCUGAAUGUUCAGCUGAACCAUACUGCCAGGUUGGCCACUAAAUGUCCCCUUUUCUGUAGCCCAGCCUUUCUGCUUGAACCCCCAUGGCAGUCCUGCCCUCAACCACAUAACCUGGUUGAAGGCAUGGAGGCAGAACAUUGCAAGUGAGGCAACCGGUGUGAUCAGAGCAGCCUUGUGUGUAUACAUAACGUGUUACGUAAGGCGGUGGGAGAUUGCAUUAAGAGGGGUGUGGUCAGGACUACUUGAGAGUCUACUAAGGGUAUAAUCAGAGGUUUGGGGUUGGGAAUAAGGGAUUUUGAAGGGAUUGCUCGGAUAAUGGGAAAUUGGCAAAAAUCUUUGUGUGGUGGACUGGCUGGUGAGAAUAUGGACAUGGGAGUUGGGCAUAUAGGUACAGAGGAGAAAUUUAAACUUGGUGACUGACUUGCUCUUUAGAGGAAGAGAAGUCAAAGAUGAUUUUAUUAUGGAUUAAAGGGGUGACAGUAGCUCGAGAAUCAGGAAGGGAAACAGUUGCAGGAAGAUAGAUUAUAGAUGAAGUGAGCUAGAACUAGCAGUUUGUGAGGGACGAAGAUGUGGGCUUAUACACAUACUCAGGCUUUUCUAGUACUUGUUUCUUUUGUUUCCUUGGUGACAGUUGUUUCCCUCUGAGUCUUUCUGGAGUUUGUGUUAGCACUGUCUAUCGACUCAGAAGAUAUGCCCCUCAGGCCUGGUAUCCAGUCACUUUGUAGGAUAUAAGCCUUGAUGUCACUGGUCCAUUUAAAAAAAAA
This is a long non-coding RNA of Myotis brandtii (Brandt's bat), 1272 nucleotides long. RefSeq lists it as uncharacterized. The transcript is spliced from 2 exons. The record is from RefSeq and is a predicted model, not a curated record. NCBI's taxonomy places the organism in Eukaryota, Metazoa, Chordata, Mammalia, Chiroptera, Vespertilionidae.